This 613-nucleotide ribosomal RNA is filed under the name uncultured bacterium. RNAcentral describes it as "partial 16S ribosomal RNA". The record is from RNAcentral.
AAUUAAACAUUCAGACAUGCGGCCAAUGGCAUCAAAACAUGUACAUAGAACAGAUGGAUGUCUGUGCAAUCUGGAGCAUGUGAUCAAGUAUGCAUCAUAGAGUCACCUCUAACUCUGGCCUGCCAAAGUCCUCUGUAUUGUGUUGGAAACAGCUGAUUUAUAUACUAAUGAAGAAUGUAUAGGCAAUGUCAUUUAAGCUCGGAGUAAUUAAUCAUUUACAGGAGAGAUCAACCGUUCUGUUUAACAGCCGAUGGUAUGAGAACACAUGGGGAUUUAUGUCAGAAGUGCAUUUGAUUUUAUGUCAGUACAUUAGCGCCAGUUUAAUUGUAAUAAGCGAAUGAUUUAACAAACUGGCCCUCCGAUCAGACAUUAACAUGAAUUAUAUACCUCCUGACACGUAUUAAGGCAAGACACUGCAGGGAAAAAUACAGUUUUAUCAUUCACCUGUCCUUUUUUCUUUAUUUAGACUAAGGUGUACUCAUUUGACCGCCUGUAUCUGCACUGUAACAAAGGCUCGAUUUACAUUUAAAAACAUGCCCUAAUAUAUGAUCUACUGAAAAACAGUGGGAUAUAAACUGUUUUAUUAAUUGUAAUAUAAACAGCUAGUUUAAUA